This is a long non-coding RNA of Balaenoptera musculus (blue whale), 2192 nucleotides long. Lineage: Eukaryota; Metazoa; Chordata; Mammalia; Artiodactyla; Balaenopteridae. The record is from Ensembl.
AGCAGUAAACACAAUAAAACCCUAGGCAAAUGCAAACCACCUCAUGGAGACACCCCAGGCAUUUGGAGGAUUUCCACAGAAGACAAAUCCUGCUAAAAUAGGCUGCAAACAUUACAAACAUUACACUGCACAUGAGAGACUAUCAGUAUAUGCAAAAGAUGAGAGACUUUGCACCCAAGUAACGAGAGAGAGCAAUCUGGAAAGGACUUUAACAUGAGUAUGUUUAAAAUGUUCAAAUAAAUAAAGGCAGGAAGUAAGACACAUAAAACAAGAACAGGGAUACAUGAAGUAGGAAAACAAAAGAGAAGCAAAUAGAGAGUCUAUACAUGAAAUAUAUAGUCAUGCAAAUGUAUAAAGGAUCAUGAAGCUGGACGUUGCACCAACAAUUCCUGGCCCUGCUGGGGUGACGACGGGGAGGAUCUGUCCCCGCCCGCGAGACCUCAGGAAGACCUCGCUGACUCACUGCACCCGGCCACCUCACAACGACCCUGUUGUACUCUCCAAGAACCUGUCACCAGUGAAAACAUUCCUGGAUGGCCACAGUCAAGAAAGAAGACUCUGAGAGGGAAAGACAAGUCUGCACUGGCUGGGAACUGGCUCUCAGUGACUGAAGCACCCUGUGAGAACAGGCAGCGAGGGCGGAGAGGAACAACGGUAAUCCUGGGCCCUCGCCGCACCUCUCUCGGCUGAAACUGCAACCCACGCAGAGAGAAAUGUUGCUGUCGCCAGAUUCAUAUUUCAUCCUCACAGCGACUUAGUGUCAACAUUAUCUUAAACAUGAUGCAUGGAGUCGCCAGAACUUCUGGUAGGAAUCAAAACAAAGAGAACUCAGGAACGUUGUAAGUCCAGUCUACAAAGAGAUUAACUUCUGACAGAGGAAGAAAACCAAAUGUGGAAGUUGGAGAAGGUGUACAUUAACAUCACCUGGGCAGCAGAGGUUGCUUCAUAAAUGCUAGCAACCCUCUCCUCAUUUCAUCACCAUUAAACCUCCUGAAUGGAUGGUUGAAACUUUUGUUCUCACCCUGCUGACUUCUGGGGAGGGGAGAGGAACUAGAUAUUGAGUUCAAUCAACAAUGGCCAAUGAUUUAAUCAAUCAUGUCUAUGUAAUGAAGUCUCCAUAAAAACCCAAAAGGAUGGGGUUUGGAGGACCUCUGGGUUGGUGAACACAUGGAGACAAGGAGAGAGGGGAGCGCUCUGAGGGGAUGUGGAAACUCUGAGCCCCUUCUCGCAAGCCUUGCCCUAUGCAUCUCUUCCACCUGGCUGUUCCUCAGUUAUAUUCUUUAUGUAACCAGUAAUCUAAUAAAUAAAAUGUUUCUCUGAGUUCUGUGAGCCACUGUAACAAAGUGACGGAACCCAAGAAGGAGGUCAUGGGAACCUCCAAAGUAUAGCCAGUCGGUCAGAAGCACAGGUGACAACCUGGACUUUCAAUUGGCUCUGAAGUGAGGGGAGGGAAAGGACUGAGCCCUUAACGUGUGGAUCUGACCCUAUCUCCAGGUAGAUAGUGUCAGAAUUGAGUUAAAUCCUGGGACACCCAGCUGGUGUCAGAGAAUUGCUUGGUGGUGUGGGGAAAAAAACACACACACAGUAGUUGGUGUCAGAAUCAUUACCUAGCAUCCUCUAAAAGUGACCAAUGGGGGACUUCCCUGGCAGUUCAGUGGUUAAGACUCCAUGCCUCCAAUGCAGGGGACGCAGGUUCGAUCCCUGGUCUGGGAACUAAGAUCCCACAUGCCACACAGCGUGGCCAAAAAAAAAAAGUGAGCAACGGGAUCGUUUUGCUGUCAUUAUUUAGUAUCAUUAUUAACUCAUAGAUUUAAGCAUAUUAAAUAUGUUUCUGUUAUUUUCCUUAUCAAUACUCAUAUUGUCUCAUGUUUGGCCAGUGGGAGUUCCUUUGAGUUGGGGCCUAAGUUCCUAUGACAUGACCCUAGUAGUCUUUGAUAACUUCCUUCUUCCUGGUAUAAGAUGUUCCUAGAUCAUCUAGUGCAUUUCCUGCACCAGACCUUUCUUCAAGGAUCCCUUCUUCCUUUUAGCAGCCUCUCAUCCUUUUUGUUUCCUUUGCCCACUCUUCUUCCUGUACCUUAAGACUCAAACUCAGUCUUUGACCUUCUCCUCUUAUGUCCCUAGCUUCUCCCAUCAAUGAAAGUCAUAACCAGUCACACUUCAACUAGCACUCCUUGCUGGCCUAUAUGUCUGCA